AUGCCCCAGGAGGCUGCUGCAGAGCCACCUGUUCCGGACAGGGGUCUCAACCGAAGGAUAGUUGUGCUCACCACUCUUGCUGCGGUGGGCCUUUGGAUCUCAGAGGCUCCAGCUUGGCGGGUUUUCUCUCAAAGAUCUUGCUGCCAAUGCUGUGCCAUACGAAGAGUAUGUGAACAACUAAGCAUGAUCCAUUGCAGUUCAGAUCAUGGUAGGGUUACAACCCAUUGCAAUGGAAAAAUUUGCAAUAGAUCCAAGAAAAUUCAUCAGAACUGCACACAAUUGCAGCCAUGCUUCGUUUCGUCAAACUUCAUCAGAAUUUUCUAUGGAGCAUCUCGUUCCCUCUGCAAAUUGCUCAAGGCCGAAGCAUCUCUCUCUCUCUCUCAAUCCCUCUCAUCAGAAGCAGCCGAUCUGUACGACGCGCCUCUCUCUGUCUCUCUCUCACACACGCACACGCACAUAGGCGAAGCCUCCUCGCCGCCCCGGCGACCCCGCGCAUCGACCUCCGGCCGCCUGCCCCGGCCGCUGACGAACAAGAAAAAGCGGGCACGAAUCAGGCAUAAGCAUCAGCAUCAGCGUGGACGUACCAAGAUUUGGAGGGGACCUGGCGGUUGCUCCGGAGGCGGGGGUGGCCGGGAGGCGGAGGAGAGCUCGCGGAGGGCGUCAGCGGCGAGGAGCAGGCCAUCGUCGAGGAGGUGGCGACGGAGAAGCGUUAGGUGGGCGAAGCAGCCGCCGCCGCCGCGGCCGCUGCCAUCGUGGCGGCGUGACCGCUUGGGUCCGUUACACACGACGCGGUCAGCCCAACGGCAUUUUGCGGGCUAUUUUUGCGGGGCGGCGUGGCGGCCGAGCGGGAUGUCCUGCGCCGCUUGCACUCUGAACUUCGAGGACGGCCGCCCUAACCAAGCCGAGGUUUGCCUAGAACUCGAGCCGCCGCCCAUCUUUCCGUGCCGCAUCACCCCGCCUGAGUACAGGAACCCGCCGGCUAUACGCGUUGCCUCUUACGCCAUGGUUGGCUCCCAUAUUUUGCUCUCCGUGCAACUGGACAAUGUGACCAGCCCUGACAAGGUUGCCAGGAAAUACAGGAAAUACAUGGGAACCUGCGGGUACGACGCGGUGCCCCUCCGCGACCAACUCUUUCUUGCCCGCUCCAAAGAGAGGGACGACGCUUAUGCAGUGUACUACAUGCAUGUCGGUCAGUCAACAUUUGGGACCAGCGAGCUGUCCAUUAUUGAGGUUCCGCUGGUGGUGCCAAAGGCCCGACCUGUUCUGGGGGAACUUCUCUUCCCUUUGGGAAGGGUCCGGUUCUCUUCUGUUCACUUUCGAUCUGUCGAUGCUGAGCCGGAGUCCAAGUUGGGCAAACCAAGUGUUGUACAUGGCACCUACUCUAUUGUGAAAGAAAAUUUCGAUGAUGCUAUAAUAAUGAAGCAGCAGCGGCAAGUUUACAAAGUAGCUGAUCGGUUGUGUCCAUUGGCUCAUCCUUUCCCUGUGGUUGCUGCUUUCGCAAUGUAA
RNAcentral lists this ribosomal RNA (1506 nucleotides) under Triticum aestivum (bread wheat). RNAcentral describes it as "partial small subunit ribosomal RNA". The record is from RNAcentral. Lineage: Eukaryota; Viridiplantae; Streptophyta; Magnoliopsida; Poales; Poaceae.